GGGGGAUAUUGCGCAAUGGGGGCAACCCUGACGCAGCAACGCCGCGUGAAGGAUGAAGGUUUUCGGAUUGUAAACUUCUUUUAUUAAGGACGAAAAUUGACGGUACUUAAUGAAUAAGCUCCGGCUAACUACGUGCCAGCAGCCGCGGUAAAACGUAGGGUGCAAGCGUUGUCCGGAAUUACUGGGUGUAAAGGGAGCGCAGGCGGGAAGACAAGUUGGAAGUGAAAACCAUGGGCUCAACCCAUGAAUUGCUUUCAAAACUGUUUUUCUUGAGUAGUGCAGAGGUAGAUGGAAUUCCCGGUGUAGCGGUGGAAUGCGUAGAUAUCGGGAGGAACACCAGUGGCGAAGGCGGUCUACUGGGCACCAACUGACGCUGAGGCUCGAAAGCAUGGGUAGCAAACAGGAUUAGAUACCCUGGUAGUCCAUGCCGUAAACGAUGAUUACUAGGUGUUGGGGGAUUGACCCCCUCAGUGCCGCAGUUAACACAAUAAGUAAUCCACCUGGGGAGUACGACCGCAAGGUUGAAACUCAAAGGAAUUGACGGGGGCCCGCACAAGCAGUGGAGUAUGUGGUUUAAUUCGAAGCAACGCGAAGAACCUUACCAGGUCUUGACAUCCGAUGCAUAGCACAGAGAUGUGUGAAAUCCUUCGGGACAUCGAGACAGGUGGUGCAUGGUUGUCGUCAGCUCGUGUCGUGAGAUGUUGGGUUAAGUCCCGCAACGAGCGCAACCCUUAUUGCCAGUUACUACGUUAAGAGGACUCUGGCGAGACUGCCGUUGACAAAACGGAGGAAGGUGGGGAUGACGUCAAAUCAUCAUGCCCUUUAUGACCUGGGCUACACACGUACUACAAUGGCGUUAAACAAAGAGAAGCAAGACCGCGAGGUGGAGCAAAACUCAAAAACAACGUCUCAGUUCAGAUUGCAGGCUGCAACUCGCCUGCAUGAAGUCGGAAUUGCUAGUAAUCGCGGAUCAGCAUGCCGCGGUGAAUACGUUCCCG
Molecule: ribosomal RNA, 998 nt
Filed under: uncultured bacterium
Lineage: Bacteria
Description: bacterial SSU rRNA
Rfam family: Bacterial small subunit ribosomal RNA
Source: RNAcentral